CAACAAAAACUUAAAAUUUGAAAUUUGACGAAGGCUGCAAAGUUGGAGUACAUAUUUGGUAGCAAGAGGAUGCAGUACAUUCACCAAAAUCAUUCUCGGAACCAUCUAUGCUUACGCUUUUAUGCUCAUCUCACACAAUAUAAUGACCACUCCAGAUGGAAUUUCCAUGAUAUUGCUCAGGCAUUGUAGUAAAUUGCUGAUUUCCAUUUAAGAGUUGCUGUUGCAACUGCUGCUCUUGCUGUACACUUAGAUGCUCAUAGGGUUGGUAAUUAUGCCAGACUUUCUGUUUUUCAGUCUGUAAUUGAACUGAUGGCACCUGUUUUCCAGGAAAAGGGAAGCUAAGUGUCCCAGUCAAGCCAUUACUGCUAUUGACAUACUGAGACAUUGCUUGAGAAGUGAUAGUAGAGGUAUUAUUGAGCCCUGAGCCUUUUGUUGAUGAUGGUAAUUGAUAGCCAUCCAACCAACUAUAAUCAUCUGUCAGUGAAGUGUCACUCAUCAAAUCUGAACUGGUAACAAUUUCAUUCACUUGUUUAAGAGGACCAUGACCAAAGCCUGGAGGAGGCCCAAGGUGCCUUA
This 576-nucleotide unclassified non-coding RNA is filed under the name Hevea brasiliensis (rubber tree). The record is from RNAcentral. Lineage: Eukaryota; Viridiplantae; Streptophyta; Magnoliopsida; Malpighiales; Euphorbiaceae.